This 711-nucleotide ribosomal RNA is filed under the name uncultured bacterium. RNAcentral describes it as "bacterial SSU rRNA". It matches the Rfam family "Bacterial small subunit ribosomal RNA", at positions 774 to 1495 of the family's 1533-position model. The record is from RNAcentral.
AGGAUUAGAUACCCGGGUAGUCCACGCCCUAAACGUUGCGAACUAGGUGUUGGUCGGAUUGACCCGAUCAGUGCCGCAGCUAACGCAUUAAGUUCGCCGCCUGGGGACUACGGCCGCAAGGUUAAAACUCAAAGGAAUAGGCGGGGGCCCGCACAAGCAGCGGAGCGUGUGGUUUAAUUCGAGGCGACGCGAAGAACCUUACCUGGGCUUGACAUGUAGAGGAAACGCUGGUGAAAGCCAGCGCCCCUCGCAAGAGGUCUCUACACAGGUGGUGCAUGGCUGUCGUCAGCUCGUGCCGUGAGGUGUUGGGUUAAGUCCGCAACGAGCGCAACCCCUGUCCUUAGUUGAAUUUUCUAGGGAGACUGCCGGGCGAAACCCGGAGGAAGGUGGGGAUGACGUCAAGUCCGCAUGCCCUUUAUGUCCAGGGCUACACACACGCUACAAUGGCCGGCACAACGGGUUCCGACACGGCGACGUGAAGGCAAUCCCUUAAAACCGGUCUCAGUUCGGAUUGUUGGCUGCAACUCGCCAGCAUGAAGUCGGAGUUGCUAGUAAACGCAGGUCAGCACACUGCGUUGAAUACGUUCCCGGGCCUUGCACUCACCGCCCGUCACAUCACUUGAAUCUGUUGCUCCCGAAGUCGCUGGCCGAACCCGUGAGGGACGGAGGCGCCGAAGGAGUGGCCGGUGAGAGGGGUGAAGUCGUAACAAG